Molecule: ribosomal RNA, 640 nt
Filed under: Agromyces indicus
Lineage: Bacteria; Bacillati; Actinomycetota; Actinomycetes; Micrococcales; Microbacteriaceae
Description: bacterial SSU rRNA
Rfam family: Bacterial small subunit ribosomal RNA
Source: RNAcentral
ACACGUGAGUAACCUGCCCUGGACUCUGGGAUAACCCCGAGAAAUCGGAGCUAAUACCGGAUAGGACCUUUCCUCGCAUGAGGUUUGGUGGAAAGUUUUUCGGUCUGGGAUGGACUCGCGGCCUAUCAGCUUGUUGGUGAGGUAAUGGCUCACCAAGGCGUCGACGGGUAGCCGGCCUGAGAGGGUGACCGGCCACACUGGGACUGAGACACGGCCCAGACUCCUACGGGAGGCAGCAGUGGGGAAUAUUGCACAAUGGGCGCAAGCCUGAUGCAGCAACGCCGCGUGCGGGAUGACGGCCUUCGGGUUGUAAACCGCUUUUAGUAGGGAAGAAGGGCUUCGGCUUGACGGUACCUGCAGAAAAAGGACCGGCUAACUACGUGCCAGCAGCCGCGGUAAUACGUAGGGUCCGAGCGUUGUCCGGAAUUAUUGGGCGUAAAGAGCUCGUAGGCGGUUUGUCGCGUCUGCUGUGAAAACUAGAGGCUCAACCUCUAGCCUGCAGUGGGUACGGGCAGACUUGAGUGGUGUAGGGGAGACUGGAAUUCCUGGUGUAGCGGUGGAAUGCGCAGAUAUCAGGAGGAACACCGAUGGCGAAGGCAGGUCUCUGGGCACUUACUGACGCUGAGGAGCGAAAGCGUGG